UUUAAACCACAUUAAUUUGUCAUGCAACCUAAAUACAUAUAUACAAUCAAAUUAGUCUCAUACAAUCAAACUGUGUGGUUAGUGAGGCUCCAGAUAUAUAUCCACGUUGAUGUCUUCUACUGUCUGGGCACUGAACCCAACUAUAAGACUCAUUCAACAACAAAUAAUAGAUAUGUUCAUUGCCGUUAACACGUAUCUAAAUUUAUCCAUAUAGGUAAUUUGUGUUGGUUAAGUCAAGAGUAGAAAAGUGGGUUGAUGAAUCGGACGUGGCGUAAGGAAGAACGUGAGGGAUCAUGUAUACAUAUAAGUUAUAACCACAACAGACACGCCAAUUCAGGCACGCCAAUUCAGGACAGCUAAGUGUUGUCCCAUUAUUCCACCUGACUAAUUCUCUCACUGUCUCCUGCUCCUUUGUCCCUACACACACUCUUAUUUUUGUUUUCUUUCUUUCUUUCUUGAUAGGUUAAAUUCUAUAAAUACGACAAAAUCACAUCUUCUACAUUUGGGGUUUAGUUUUUACUUUACUUCUCUAUUCUCUUUUCACAAAUAGUGUCACUUUUAACGUUUUUCAUAUAAGAUACAAAUUCAAUUUUAUCUCUCCCCUGUUUAAUGUUUCAGUUGAAGCCAAACUCGUAAACCUAUUUUCCAAUUUGUCGACAGAAAGAUCGUCUUUCAUAUUUAUUUCUAUUUGUCGUUGUUUCUUGAAAUAUCUUUUUUUGUAACUUUCUUGAAAUAUCUUACAAAAUCUUUGAAACAA
This 757-nucleotide long non-coding RNA is filed under the name Brassica napus (rape). RNAcentral's name for it is "long non-coding RNA (BNAP_LNC020990)". The record is from RNAcentral. Lineage: Eukaryota; Viridiplantae; Streptophyta; Magnoliopsida; Brassicales; Brassicaceae.